RNAcentral lists this ribosomal RNA (492 nucleotides) under uncultured bacterium. Its description in RNAcentral is "partial 16S ribosomal RNA". It matches the Rfam family "Bacterial small subunit ribosomal RNA", at positions 29 to 507 of the family's 1533-position model. The record is from RNAcentral.
AGUGAACGCUGGCGGUAGGCCUAACACAUGCAAGUCGAACGGCAGCACAGUAAGAGCUUGCUCUUACGGGUGGCGAGUGGCGGACGGGUGAGGAAUACAUCGGAAUCUACUUUUUCGUGGGGGAUAACGUAGGGAAACUUACGCUAAUACCGCAUACCACCUACGGGUGAAAGCAUGGGAUCUUCGGACCUUGCGCGGUUGAAUGAGCCGCUGUCGGAUUAGCUGGUUGGCGGGGUAAAGGCCCACCAAGGCGAGGAUGCGUAGCUGGUCUGAGAGGAGGAUCAGCCACACUGGAACUGAGACACGGUCCAGACUCCUACGGGAGGCAGCAGUGGGGAAUAUUGGACAAUGGGCGCAAGCCUGAUCCAGCCAUACCGCGUGGGUGAAGAAGGCCUUCGGGUUGUAAAGCCCUUUUGUUGGGAAAGAAAAGCAGCAGGUUAAGACCCCGCUGUUCUGACGGUACCCAAAGAAUAAGCACCGGCUAACUUCGUG